This 438-nucleotide ribosomal RNA is filed under the name Triticum aestivum (bread wheat). RNAcentral describes it as "partial small subunit ribosomal RNA". Lineage: Eukaryota; Viridiplantae; Streptophyta; Magnoliopsida; Poales; Poaceae. The record is from RNAcentral.
AUGGCUCUAGGCAGCAGGCUGGAGCUCCUCGUCAUCCUCUCAAGAUGCGGCAGCUUGGUACACGCCGGCACGGCGGCGGCCAUCCUCUGGGAGGCCAACCAACCGUUCCCGGUCAACCAAUUGAUGUGCGGGACUAUGUCCCUCGGAGGCAUUCUGUGGGGUUUGGCGCUGCUGAUGUUCCAGUUCGCCUGGCUGUAUUUGGAGGACUUUGAGCCCGGAAAUGUGGCGCUCCUGGUACUGAUCGCCGUCGACUGGGCUGUUGCGUGUCUCUCCGCCGGCUCGGCGUGCGCCGCCCUCGCCGCCAACCAAUACGCCAUCCAGCACCAGUACCGUACUGCGGCCGCGAUGGUGUGUGCUGCCGGGGCUCUCGCCGCGGUGUCCGCCCUCGGCAUGCUCCGGAUCCACGGGUCCCGCUUUGCCCCGGCUCAGGCGCCAUAG